This 460-nucleotide ribosomal RNA is filed under the name uncultured bacterium. RNAcentral describes it as "partial 16S ribosomal RNA". It matches the Rfam family "Bacterial small subunit ribosomal RNA", at positions 338 to 795 of the family's 1533-position model. The record is from RNAcentral.
CCUACGGGAGGCAGCAGUGAGGAAUAUUGGUCAAUGGGCGGAAGCCUGAACCAGCCAAGUAGCGUGCAGGAUGACGGCCCUACGGGUUGUAAACUGCUUUUAUACGGGAAUAACGCGCCUUACGUGUAGGUCUUUGCAUGUACCGUAUGAAUAAGGACCGGCUAAUUCCGUGCCAGCAGCCGCGGUAAUACGGAGGAUCCGAGCGUUAUCCGGAUUUAUUGGGUUUAAAGGGAGCGUAGGUGGAUUGUUAAGUCAGUUGUGAAAGUUUGCGGCUCAACCGUAAAAUUGCAGUUGAAACUGGCAGUCUUGAGUACAGUAGAGGUGGGCGGAAUUCGUGGUGUAGCGGUGAAAUGCUUAGAUAUCACGAAGAACUCCGAUUGCGAAGGCAGUUCACUGGACUGCAACUGACACUGAGGCUCGAAAGUGUGGGUAUCAAACAGGAUUAGAUACCCCUGUAGUC